AGCCCAUCCAGAUGUUGCCUCACACCCCCCCCCCCCCCCCCCCUGCUGCCGUCACAGUGGACCGUUCCUACUGGUAGGUGGAUCCACCCUAUCGCAACACUAGGAUGGACUCUCCCACUUGUGAUGUCACAACAAUCGGUUAAUAACAGCUGGUACGUUUCAUAGGAGGGUUGUUCAUACAUUUUAUUUCAUUUGGGCCAAGGUUUAACAAAAUAACACAUUGAUAAAAUCGUCCAAGGAUAAAAAUAAGUGGCACCCGAAAUUUACCUUUAAACAGAAUUAACCGCUGGAUUCACACUGAAUCCGAUACACGUAAUACACAUUUGGCAACACAUUUAGAUGAAGACGCAUCAUCCAAACUGAGGCUAGUCAGAGGAGCUGAAAAUAGUGUCAUGUCAAACUGUUUUUCGUUACCAGGUUUUCACCCAUGUGCUUAGAGUUGAGAAUAUUAUGGGAUAGCAUGAUGUGCGUCUGAUUGUCCAUGAUGACAGCUAACGAUCUAUGGUGUUAUACCGAGGGUUGAGGUCAGGGUUCAUCUGUUAAUUAACCUCCGAGUGUGAAGAGUUAAUGUGGGUCUGCUGGCUUAGAAAUCCACAUUAAAAAUAACUAUUAAACCAUAGCAGAACAAACUGUCGUACGCCCACAUCAUUCUCAUGUACCCCAACACUUUAAAAAGGCAGUUCAUGAUUCUUCAAGUAGCGAAUUAAAAAACGCGUAUGUUGAUGUAUCAAAAAUAACCACCAGCUGUUGGACACAUGGUGAGCACCUCAGGUACACCUCAGGUACACCUCGGGUACACCUCGGGUACACCUCCCCUUGUCCUGGUCCCUUCAGUCCGGUACUCAGUUCAAUCCCCACACAAACGCCUCCUUUUACGUUUGACACUUUAGCAGCUCGGCUGCCUUGCCCAAAGGUCCCGGCGGGGGUUUAAACCCCGCUCUGCGAGUGGAGGAGGAGGAGGCCGGGAGGAGAGCUCGUCCACCCAGGGACCUUCUGCACCAGAGGCGUCGAUGUGUGGGAGCCCAGGCCGGUCAGAUCAAGGUCCGCCUGCUUCAUCCAAACAACUCACAGCUUUUUGUACUUGAAAACCAAACAGGAGGAGUGGACUAUCUGAUCACCUCGAUAAGGGACAACGCUGCGUGAGAUGCGGGGUUGGCAGUAGGGAGCGUCUCGGACCAAAGUCCACUGCAGACGCGGCGCGUGAGAAGGUGGAGCAGCCCGAACAUGAGAUAACCUCUCCGACACAGGUCCACACCGUCCAAUCAGGUAAUGGCAAGCCUUCCAGCCGAACGAAUACAGCAACACCCAAAAAAACUGGUGGCAGCGUCAACGCCGCAAUUGCCGGAAGCCUACGACCGUCGAGACUGUUUUGGGAAAAAUUCUACGACGCCCACGGAAACCGGCGUUCUGGAACACCCACUGGAAGCUUCUUCAGUUGUUCAACAUUCUAGAACGCCUCGGAGACACAAUUCAGGCGCUGUUGGAAAAAUGGUUUGUGUCGUCACAAGACAUCCACAACUGCUGGGUUGGAUCAUUUGGAGAACGCUGAGUGUACUGCAAAGGUUAUUUCUGCACAGAGUAAAAAAUAUAUAUAGAUGAGCACGAAGUAUUAAACAAGUAUUAAACACAA
This is a long non-coding RNA of Gadus macrocephalus (Pacific cod), 1630 nucleotides long. RefSeq lists it as uncharacterized. The transcript is spliced from 2 exons. Lineage: Eukaryota; Metazoa; Chordata; Actinopteri; Gadiformes; Gadidae. The record is from RefSeq and is a predicted model, not a curated record.